Molecule: ribosomal RNA, 305 nt
Filed under: uncultured bacterium
Lineage: Bacteria
Description: partial 16S ribosomal RNA
Rfam family: Bacterial small subunit ribosomal RNA
Source: RNAcentral
ACAGCAGCCACCACGGGAAUACGUAGGGUGCAAGCGUUAAUCGGAAUUACUGGGCGUAAAGCGUGCGCAGGCGGUUAUAUAAGACAGAUGUGAAAUCCCCGGGCUCAACCUGGGAACUGCAUUUGUGACUGUAUAGCUAGAGUACGGCAGAGGGGGAUGGAAUUCCGCGUGUAGCAGUGAAAUGCGUAGAUAUGCGGAGGAACACCGAUGGCGAAGGCAAUCCCCUGGGCCUGUACUGACGCUCAUGCACGAAAGCGUGGGGAGCAAACAGGAUUAGAUACCCCUGUAGUCCCUGUCUCUUAUAA